AGGGAAGCCAGGUGGCGACACCGCGCGGAACCCGAAAGCCGUUCUCAGUUCGGAUCGGAGUCUGCAACCCGACUCCGUGAAGCUGGAUUCGCUAGUAAUCGCGCAUCAGCCAUGGCGCGGUGAAUACGUUCCCGGGCCUUGUACACACCGCCCGUCAAGCCAUGGGAGCCGGGGGUGCUUGAAGUGCGUCGCCGCAAGGCGCGCCCUAGAGCAAAACCGGUGACUGGGGCUAAGUCGUAACAAGGUAUC
RNAcentral lists this ribosomal RNA (249 nucleotides) under uncultured bacterium. Its description in RNAcentral is "partial 16S ribosomal RNA". It matches the Rfam family "Bacterial small subunit ribosomal RNA", at positions 1243 to 1500 of the family's 1533-position model. The record is from RNAcentral.